ACAAAGAAUUGUCCCUCAAUAAGGUCAAAGGUGACAAAGAUGGCGGCGGCCUGAGAGUUAGUGUUGUGAGACAUCAACAGACUAGAACUAGUCAGAGAUGGUGACUUAGAAGUUGGGAAUACCAUUCAUAUUUGGUGUAUCCGCUUCUGCAUGAUGUCCUUGUUAUCAGAUGACCUGAAUAGCUUUGCGCAAGGCUGGAAUGACAGAAGGAAGCUGCCUGGUCACGGUGCACCUGCUGGCCGUCCAAAUGCACUUUAUUUCCUGCCACACCUUUCAGGGGGCCGAAAACCUACUACAAGACGUGGAUGCGAGGAUGCUCCACCAUGCACAGCGAGAGUGCACAUCACCCUCACUUGUUGGGAAUGACAGAUUUCAUCGCUACUUAUGUGAUAUGUUGCAAAGGUUAAAUAAGAGGUAUCCCACAAAUUGCGAUGAUGCAUCUUUCUUAUGCGCUUUGAUCAUCCUGCAUUAUACAAACACAUCUCAAAUUAUAUUUUUAACAUUACAAAGAAACGAGAAAAAGCCGAACCAUUGUAUUAGAGUAGUUUUAAAGCUGUUUGUAAGACAAACAUGUAUAUUACCUAUUUCAUCUGUUCACCUGUACUUAGCCCGAUAGGGCAUGAAUGUACAAUAAAGGUUAUUAUUAACACUGUACCGAGAGCUGGUGGCAAUUGCAAAUUAAUAUACAUCAAACCUGUACACAGAACACCUAGUUUAUGUGUCCACUUAAUUGGUGGUCCUUUGGUGAUUUAUUUAUUGUAACAGAUGUAGAGGAACUGAUCUUCUCACACACUUAACUUGUAAUAUUAUGUCAUCACAAGACUUAACCAGCAACAAGAACUCUUAACCAGCAACAAGAACUCCACAACUUGUAAUGUAAAUUGAUAGAAUAUUCGGCUUUACCUGCAACAAGAACUCUGGCAGUCUACUGCAACACUAAGAAAUAUGCUUUUCCACACAUACUAAUGGCAGUUAACAUUGUUUAUGGAGAAAGUACAUGUACAUCAUCAUAUUACAUCAUCACAGUAUUCAUGAGAACAGUACAAUGUAAGUUUGUUAUGCUUUUAGAAACAAGUAAUAGUAACAGUAUUUUUAAUUCUGUGUUUGAUAUACCAUAUCCACAACUGUACACUAGGAUUGCUAUACUGUUAGUUGUAAGACGCUAGACUUGCGUGCAUUGCCAACUAGUCACAGUGAUACUGCAUAUAUUUUUGGGAUGCUUUCCUGAUUUUCAUAACAUUAACAUCACAUAGAAUCACAUACUGGUACUGUCAUGAUCUGUUUGACAACAACUUGACAUGAAGGACCUAUCAACAUUAUUCAGAAAGUGCUUUAUUUAAUACCCUAUCUAAUGUGCAACUACUUACAGUGAUACUACACAUACAAUUUUUGAGAUGCUUUCAUGACUUUCAUUAGAAACACCACUUACAAUCACAAACUGGUACCGUCAUGAUUUGUUUGAUGACAACUUCACAUGAAGAAACUUCAUGUGAUGUACUGUGUACAUAGCUUUUCUGUAGUACAGUAUGGGAUCAGGGGGAAGGGUCACAUGGAUAAACUAUAAAUCAUUGAUUACUGAUUGAAUACUUUUAUACGAGAUACAAAUGUACAGGAAAUGUUACAGGUGAGUACAUGACUAUUGAAAUUUGGAUUUAAAUGGGAAGUGUUGUGCUAUACACUUGAUAACUCGUACCCGGAUGGCCUCCCUCACUUCUGCAUUGGAGCUGGUGCCAAGACGCCUUCAUAGCCCAAGCUUGUUGUACCUGUACUUUAGCUGCCGCACACUGUAUACAAUAAAUAAAUAAAUUGGUUUGUUGACAGCACAAUUGCCUAGUUUGUUCCCCUUGAAAUAAGAUU
Long non-coding RNA from Branchiostoma belcheri (Belcher's lancelet), 1857 nucleotides. RefSeq lists it as uncharacterized. The record is from RefSeq and is a predicted model, not a curated record. The transcript has 4 exons. Lineage: Eukaryota; Metazoa; Chordata; Leptocardii; Amphioxiformes; Branchiostomatidae.